RNAcentral lists this small nuclear RNA (263 nucleotides) under Meriones unguiculatus (Mongolian gerbil). RNAcentral describes it as "7SK RNA (ENSMUGG00000000192.1)". It matches the Rfam family "7SK RNA", at positions 1 to 276 of the family's 331-position model. Rfam says of the family: 7SK was discovered as an abundant small nuclear RNA in the mid-70s but a possible function has only recently been suggested. Two independent studies have found that 7SK RNA binds the CDK9/cyclin T complex (known as elongation factor P-TEFb). The record is from RNAcentral. Lineage: Eukaryota; Metazoa; Chordata; Mammalia; Rodentia; Muridae.
AGGUUUGAGGCUGAUGUGGCUAUGACACCUGUUACCAUUGAUCACCAGGAUUGAUUCUGCCCAUUUGGCUCUCUACAGGUGUGUCCUGUUCUGCACUCACCACUCCUUGAGCAUCUCUCCUGAAGGUUUGCAUUUGGCAGAAGAGGACAAUCUUCUCUGACAGAGUAGCACAGUUCUUCUGUCAUGGCUAUAUAAGUAGCUGUGCUCCUCAAUAGAACUUCCAAACAAGUUCUCAAGGUCCAGAAUAAAGGUUUUUUGUUUUG